This 254-nucleotide ribosomal RNA is filed under the name uncultured bacterium. RNAcentral describes it as "partial 16S ribosomal RNA". It matches the Rfam family "Bacterial small subunit ribosomal RNA", at positions 524 to 776 of the family's 1533-position model. The record is from RNAcentral.
UACAGAGGGUGCAAGCGUUAAUCGGAAUUAUUGGGCGUAAAGAGCUCGUAGGCGGUUUAGUAAGUCGGAUGUGAAAUCUCCAGGCUCAACCUGGAGGGGUCAUUCGAGACUGCUAUGACUAGAGUUCGGUAGAGGAGUGUGGAAUUCCUGGUGGAGCGGUGAAAUGCGCAGAUAUCAGGAGGAACACCCGUAGCGAAGGCGGCACUCUGGGCCGAUACUGACGCUGAGGAGCGAAAGCGUGGGGAGCGAACAGG